RNAcentral lists this long non-coding RNA (2120 nucleotides) under Nicotiana tabacum (common tobacco). Its description in RNAcentral is "long non-coding RNA (NTAB_LNC010562)". The record is from RNAcentral. Lineage: Eukaryota; Viridiplantae; Streptophyta; Magnoliopsida; Solanales; Solanaceae.
CUCACCCUCGUCUCUUCAGAGACCACCCCCAAAACCCUAGCAGCCACCCCUUUUUCCCACCGCUUUAGGGUGGCGGCGCCACCUCCAAUCACUCCCAAAAUAACACCCCAUGACCACCAAAACCCCAUCUUCCCAAAUCCUUACUCCAUUCCCCUCGAAUAUGGCUGAAACUCUUCGAAUAUUGAAUCUGAGCUCAAGCCCUAGAAGCCAAAUCCCGACCAGUGCAUGCAAGGUUAAUGCUCCAGUUUCUUAUGAGUGUUCAAUGCCGAUCUUAUCACGAAACAAUGUUAUUUGCCUGUUCUUGACAAAGAACAGGUUAUUGACAUUAUUUCGUGAUUUAAAUUGGAAGGUCAGUCAGGUUCGAGCCCUGAAUCGGUGAGUUUCUCUUAGUCGUUUGUUUGUUCUUGAUAUUUCACCUCCUGUUCUUCUUCGUCAUUUCCUCUCCGUGUAGUUGAGCUUUCUUCCUACUGAAACUAGUUUGAACCCAGCUUCUUCCCUUUUAGGUUAAUUUGUUUCUUCAUACUUGCUUCCCUUCAUGUUUGGUUUUUCUUCGCAAAUUGCUAAUAUCUGUGCCCCGAUUUUGUCUGCCCAUUUUUGCUUAGGUUUUAGGGUUUAAAUUUCUAAUUUUCCCCUCCUUUUUCUCACUGAUCUUUUACAAUGUAGUAUUUUCUAUUUUAUUUGUUUAAUUUCAUUUGUUUCAUUUUCUUUGUUUAAUUGAUGAUCUAUAAUAGUCAAUUCUGAGUUUGAUUAGUAAAAAUUAACUCAUGCCUAAAAUCAGAGGUGCUUGUGUUUACCCUCAAGUUUUGGAUUUGUUCUUUCUCUGGUUUCGUUUGGUUAGUUCUAAGUACUCAACCCCUUAUAAGUAACUAUGGUUACCACUGACCUAGUUAAAAGGGCUGGUUUAGUUGGACUUUAGGUUAACUUAACCCAAGUUAACAAUUGAGGGGUAAAUAACCGGGGUUUUAAGGGUAGUCUAGGAAAUCUAAGUAGGGAAUAUUUUAGUAACUGAAUAGGAAGCUUCUAGGAAGCUGGGGAGGGGGACUGAUUUUAAGCUCUGAAAUUUAAAUAAAGGACUCCUAAGCAAAAAACAAAAAUUCCAGAAGGUUUUAAGUACAAAUGUGAAUUCUUUAAGGCUGCCCUAAUGCCUUGCCUAUAAAGGCAUCAUAACUUGGCAUUCAUGGGAGGAGGUUUUUGGAAGAAAAAAGAAAGACUGAAAACUGAAACAGCUGAGUCCCUUUGGAAAAUUCUGAAUCCAUUACAUUAUUUGUUUAGAAAACUGCUCAAACUCUGCUCAUUUAGGAGUCUUCUGAUUUGAUUUGGUGAACAAAACUUCUGAAAAAUCAUAGCUUCUCAUUUUGGGAUUUGAAAUGGAUUGAAUUUGGGUCUUGGAAAGAGUUUUGGUUUAAGUUCUGCUGGUUGGUCACUGUUCCAUUAGUUUCUCUAGGCUAAUUUCAUUGUUCGACUGAUUGAAUCUGGGGCUGUAUUCUGCUACUAUUUACUGCUGAUCCUUCACUUCUUUUUCCUUUGCAAAUUCCAGGUAUGCCUUUGAAACUGUCAUGGAAUUGAAGCUUGACUGAAUCUGUGUAAAGAUCUGGAAACUUGAGUUGGAAUUUAAAUGGAAACACUAGUUCUUGCUGUAAUUACUGCUAGUUUCUGCUAUCUUAUGUUAUUAAAUUCCCCAGUUCUGUAGUAAUUUAGUUCUCUUGCAUAUGUUGGUUUGUUUGUUCAUGUUAGUGGCUUAAGGUGGUGUUGGUUUCUUAGGAUAGGUGUUUAAAUUCGGAAUGUCAGCAUUGUAAUAAUGUUUGAACUCUAUUGUAUGAAUGAACUGUUAGACAUGUUGUAGUAGAAGAUUGCUUGAGGGUGUCAGUUUAGUGUUCCUAUAGUUUGAAAUUAGAUUUUGUCAUAUUGAAGUGUUGUCCAGGGUCCUGCUUUGUAAUUUGAAAAGCAUUGCAGUAUUGUACUUAGUCAAAACUGCCUUUUUAAAUGAUCUAAGUGAGCUUAAAUUUCCUAUGUUUGUUUGUGGGAUUAGUUUGGAGAUUAAAUACAAGCAUGAACCUCUGUUGCUUGUUAUCAGUGCACUUGAUGAUAGAAGUGUUUGGUGAGCUAAUAGCUUGUGGAGG